GGAUGUGAGGGCCAUCUGUCACCCCAUUGACCACCAGGGUUGAUUCAGCUGAUCUGGCUGGCUAGGUGGGUGUCCCCUUCCUUCCUCACUGUUCCAUGUGCGUCCUUCCCGAAGCUGCGCGCGGUUGAAGAGUACGACCUUCCCCAAUAGAGGCCUACCGUUCUUCGGUCAAGGGUGUACGAGUAGCCGCGCUCCCCUGCUAGAACAAGCUCACAAAGUCCAUUUCAUUGAAGUAGCCUAAAACUAGGAAAUUCAAAGUGGGAAAAUAUUGUUAUACUCAUUCCCCAUGU
RNAcentral lists this small nuclear RNA (290 nucleotides) under Sarcophilus harrisii (Tasmanian devil). RNAcentral describes it as "7SK RNA". It matches the Rfam family "7SK RNA". From Rfam's summary of the family: 7SK was discovered as an abundant small nuclear RNA in the mid-70s but a possible function has only recently been suggested. Two independent studies have found that 7SK RNA binds the CDK9/cyclin T complex (known as elongation factor P-TEFb). The record is from Rfam by way of RNAcentral. Lineage: Eukaryota; Metazoa; Chordata; Mammalia; Dasyuromorphia; Dasyuridae.